Molecule: transfer RNA, 67 nt
Filed under: Marmota monax (woodchuck)
Lineage: Eukaryota; Metazoa; Chordata; Mammalia; Rodentia; Sciuridae
Description: tRNA.Ala
Source: RNAcentral
GGUUGUGGCUCAGUGGUAGAGCGCUUGCCUAGCACAUUUGAAGUCCUGGGUUGGAUCCUCAACACCA